Molecule: transfer RNA, 73 nt
Filed under: Loxodonta africana (African savanna elephant)
Lineage: Eukaryota; Metazoa; Chordata; Mammalia; Proboscidea; Elephantidae
Rfam family: tRNA
About the family: Transfer RNA (tRNA) molecules are approximately 80 nucleotides in length. Their secondary structure includes four short double-helical elements and three loops (D, anti-codon, and T loops). Further hydrogen bonds mediate the characteristic L-shaped molecular structure. tRNAs have two regions of fundamental functional importance: the anti-codon, which is responsible for specific mRNA codon recognition, and the 3' end, to which the tRNAs corresponding amino acid is attached (by aminoacyl-tRNA synthetases). tRNAs cope with the degeneracy of the genetic code in two manners: having more than one tRNA (with a specific anti-codon) for a particular amino acid; and 'wobble' base-pairing, i.e. permitting non-standard base-pairing at the 3rd anti-codon position.
Source: Rfam by way of RNAcentral
CCUUGGGUAAUGCAAAUGGUUAGCACAUUUGGCUGCUAACCAAAAGGUUGAAGGUUCGAGUCCACCCAGAGGC